AUCUGUAGAUCUCCAGUUUCCUUUCACUAUGAACAAAGUAAGUUCAUCGUUAAAUUCACCUUACGCUCUCAUGACAUGACAUGGAUUUGUGCUAGAAACAAAACACGCCGCUGAAGGACGCGGCCAUGUUGGAACCGGUCGCGGGUUGAUGACGUCACGCACCAACAGUGCGGCGUCUAUUCUGUCCUGGUUGGAGGAAGUGUACAUCUGCGAUAGGAACCAAACCUGAUGAUGGUUCCCUCUGGUGAAAGUACCAGCCACACACACACACACACACACACACACACACACAGAUCUGUAACAGCAACAGAAUUGAACUUCCUCAACCCACACAUCCACUAGUGAUUCCCAUUUAUCUUUGGCAGGAAUCGUGGAGAUAUUUGAGGAGACCGGAGAGCGCUGCUGAUUCCAGAAACGUGAAAGUCGUCUGAACUUUUGCUUUUUCAGAUCGAAGCAUUAUUGAAGACAGGUUUUAUUUUCUACACUGUUUCUAACAUCGAGAUGAAAAAUAAUGCAGAAACAUUCAUUCAUGAACGUUCAAAAAGCAACUGAAUGACAAAUCGGCACAAUAGGAAAACUCUCUCUCUCUCUCUCUCUCUCUCUCUCUCUCUCUCUCUCUCUCUCUCUCUCUCUCUCUUUCUCUCUUUUUUCCUGCACCUUAAAGCAGCUGUAGUGUUAAAAGUUUCUGGGCCUGGUUUAAAUUAUUCAGUUUCCUGUCAAACUCUCGAGAUUGAAACCCUAGAUGUUGAGGAAAUACCCGGAGCAGAAUUAUACAUCAAGUUACCCUUUUCACCCCCGGGGUCUCUCUUCUUCUCUCUUCUUCCUCUUUUGCUUUUGUUCUUUUUUCCUUCAAAUCCUUUAUCUCCAUCUAUGGCUGUGGAUCUGGACCAGGUCCAGGAUGGCUCUCUGAUUCAUUGCGCGUCUCCACGUAAACAUUCGGGUCGGACGGAAUCCCCCUCAGGGCAACUCGAACACAUACAAUAGACGUUAGCAUGAAUUGAAGUGCAAGCGUAUGGAAGCUAAACCUAUGGCCUGUGUAUUAGCAUGAGUAAUAACGCUCUGGCUUUAAUGAAAUUAAGGGAAUGUGACUUUUUGGAGAUUUCGAACACACUGGUUGGAUGGUUAGAGAAUAUUCUUUCCAUUUCUUUUCUUAUUAAUUAUAUUAAAUAUUUGUGUGAUUUGCACUUUGCAAGUUAAAAUAGUUAUUGGCACAAUUGAUGCUAGCAAAAUAAAAUAUUCAAGUCUGCUAAUCCACAAACUUUUGCACU
Silurus meridionalis is the source of this 1268-nucleotide long non-coding RNA. RefSeq lists it as uncharacterized. The transcript has 3 exons. The record is from RefSeq and is a predicted model, not a curated record. NCBI's taxonomy places the organism in Eukaryota, Metazoa, Chordata, Actinopteri, Siluriformes, Siluridae.